This 75-nucleotide transfer RNA is filed under the name Candidatus Bathyarchaeota archaeon. RNAcentral's name for it is "tRNA-Gln". It matches the Rfam family "tRNA". Rfam says of the family: Transfer RNA (tRNA) molecules are approximately 80 nucleotides in length. Lineage: Archaea; Thermoproteati; Candidatus Bathyarchaeota. RNAcentral also lists the same sequence under 1 other name. The record is from RNAcentral.
AGCCCGGUGGUGUAGUCUGGCCAAGCAUGGGGGCCUUUGGAGCCCCCGACGGGAGUUCGAAUCUCCCCCGGGCUA